GCAAGUCGAGGGGCAGCGCGGGAUAGCAAUAUCCUGGCGGCGACCGGCGGAAGGGUGCGUAACGCGUGAGCGACAUGCCCGUUGCCCGGGGACAACCGGUGGAAACGCCGACUAAUCCCCGAUGGGAUAUUGUGCCGCAUGGCACGAUAUUGAAAGUUACGGCGGCGACGGAUUGGCUCGCGUCCGAUUAGCUUGUUGGCGGGGUAACGGCCCACCAAGGCUACGAUCGGUAGGGGUUCUGAGAGGAAGGCCCCCCACAAUGGGACUGAGACACGGCCCAUACUCCUACGGGAGGCAGCAGUGAGGAAUAUUGGUCAAUGGGCGGAAGCCUGAACCAGCCAUGCCGCGUGCGGGAAGGAGGCCCUAUGGGCUGUGAACCGCUUUUGCCUGGGGGCAAUAAGGGCGUCGCGCACGCCCGAUGAGAGUACCAGGCGAAUAAGCAUCGGCUAACUCCGUGCCAGCAGCCGCGGUAAUACGGGGGAUGCGAGCGUUAUCCGGAUUCAUUGGGUUUAAAGGGUGCGUAGGCUGUGCGUCAAGUCGGGGGUGAAAUUCCGGUGCUCAACACCGGGGCUGCCCUUGAUACUGUCGCGCUGGAGUGCGGAUGCCGCCGGAGGAAUGAGUGG
This 623-nucleotide ribosomal RNA is filed under the name uncultured bacterium. RNAcentral's name for it is "bacterial SSU rRNA". It matches the Rfam family "Bacterial small subunit ribosomal RNA", at positions 57 to 673 of the family's 1533-position model. The record is from RNAcentral.